This is a non-coding RNA of Oncorhynchus keta (chum salmon), 5238 nucleotides long. Lineage: Eukaryota; Metazoa; Chordata; Actinopteri; Salmoniformes; Salmonidae. The record is from the annotation of a RefSeq genome assembly.
CACAGUGACACAGGAGGCUGCUGCGCUGUACAAAAACUGAUUAAGCAAGCACUUCUCUUACUGUGAGAGUCUGUGAAAUAUUUCUGAACUCCAGUCUCUGUCAACAUAAAUCCCAUGGCCCGACCAACACAGAGAGUAGACACAUACUACUCUAAAUUAUAACCAUUAUUAUUUGAAAAGCAUAAAACAUACCUGACAUUUUUGUAAGAUAAAAACAUAAAUAUCUUUACAGCCAUUCAAUUAUAAUCUCUAGCAGCUAAAACCAUUUACCUCGUAAUGUCUAUUUGAAUGAAACCAAAUGUCAAAUUUCAGCAAACAGGAUUAGUACAAUAUGUAAUACAGAACCAUGAAGGUCAAUAACGUUAAAGUAUAGAUGAAACAAGUAUAGAUGAAACAAGUUUAGAUGAAACAAGUUUAGAUGGAACAAGUAUAGAUGAAACAAGUUUAGAUGAAACAAGUUUAGAUGGAACAAGUAUAGAUGGAACAAGUUAAGAUGAAACAAGUUCAACUUUUUAUGGCUGCAGGGGCAGUAUUGAGAAGCUUGGAUGAAAGGUGCCCAUAUCAAACGGCCUGCUCCUCAGUCAUUGUUGCUAAUAUUUGCAUACUAUUAUUAGUAUUAGAUAGAAAACACUCUGACGUUUAUAAAACUGUUUGAAUGAUGUCUGUGAGUAUAACAGUACUCAUAUUGUCAGGCAAAAUCUUGAGUCAAAUUAGGAAGUCAGAAAUCUGAGCUUGUAUGUAUUCACCACAUUUACAUUUACAUUUAAGGUGGUGCAUUCACCUUAUGACAUCCAUUGGAGUCCCCAAUGAAAUCCCCCUGAGGUAUGAAUGAUGUUGCACUGCCUCGGGGUUCCACUAGAUGUCAAACAUCAAUAGAAAUUAUAAUGAGGCUUCUAUGUUGUUGUGGGAGUGAAUGAGAGCAGAAUAUAUCAGAUGUCCAUCAAGCAGCCAUUUUGUGAUCGCGCUUUUUCCUCAUGGUAGUUACUUGAGUUUCAUUGCUCACGAAGACAAGAAGGAAUACUCCGGUUGGAACUUUAUUGAAGCUAUAUGUUAAAAACAUCCCAAUGAUUGAUUCUGUACUUAGUUUGAAAUGUUUCUUCAACCGGUAAUGUCACUUUUUAAAGUUUGUCCGAUAUAACUCUGACCAGAAUUAGCAUUUGGAUAUGUAUACCAAACGCGCUAACAAAAGAAGGUAUUUGGACAUAAAUAACGGACAUUUUCGAACAAAACAAACAUUUAUUGUGGACCUGGGUUUCCUGGAGUGCUUUCUGAUGUAGAUCAUCAAAGGUAAGGGAAUAUUUAUCAUGUCAUUUCUUGUUUAUUGUGAUGCCAUCUUUGCGGCUGUGAUGUUUUUACUUUUGAGCGCAGUCUCAGAUUAUUGCAUGCGUUUCUUUUUCCGUAAAGUUUUUUGAAAUCUGACACAGCAGUUGCAUCAAGGAGAGGUAUAUCUAUAAUCCCAUGUGUAUAACUUGUCUUAUCAUCUACAUUUAUGAUGAGUAUUUCUGUUGAAUGAUGUGGCUAUGCAAAAUCACUUGAUGUUUUUGGAACUAGAGAAUCUAACGCGCCAAUGUAAACUCCGAUUUUUUUUAUAUAAAUAUGGACUUUAUCAAACAAAACAUGCAUGUAUUGUGUAACAUGAAGUCCUAUGAGUGUCAUCUGAUGAAGACAAUUCAAGGUCAGUGAUUCAUUUUAUCUUUAUUUCUGGUUUUUGUGAAUGCUAUAUUUUGCUGGAAAAUGGCUGUGCUUAUUGUGGUUUGGUGGAGACCUCACAGAAUUGUUUGUAGUGCUUUUGCUGAAAAGCCUAUUUGAAAUCGGACAUUUUGGUGGGAUUAGCAACGAGAAUAGCUUUAAAAUGAUAUAAGACACAUGUUUGUUUUAGGAAUUGUAAUUAGAUUUCUGUGGUUUGAAUUUGGCGCCCUCUACUUUCACUGGUAGUUGUCAUAUCGAUCCCGGUAUCGGGAUUGCAGCCAUAACAGGCUAACCCCAUGGAGAUGCAAAUAUAUUCUGUUUACCAAGAGCCAAUGUCUCCUCCCAUUACAAAAGUCUGCUAUAAUAACUGAACCCCAGAGACCAUCUCCCUCAUUCACAACUGUCAUUUUCAGUCUACACCUUUGUUUCAAAAAUCUUACAAUCUCAAUGUUCUAACUGAACUAUUUUAUAACUCCAUCUGUAUCCUAGAGGUUGUAAGACUAAGUUUUAAAUAAACAGACAGUCCCAGCAUACAAAUGAUCAGUUCUUUAUUCAGAGAGCUCUGCCCUUCUAGUGCAGAGCUAGUCUUUUAUAUACACACACACACAAGUUCUUAUCAUGGGCUACUCCAUAGUCGGACAGGCUGAACUUUUCCUCUAUCCAGGGUGAGAUCAGAAUCUUCUCUUAUUGGUUUCACAGUUGCACAAGUUGUCUGUCGAUAGCUCAUCUUAUCCUUUGUUGUCGCAACUACACCCUGCUUACAUAGCUAAAAAGGAACACAAUGUCCUAAUUCUAUCCUGCCUAAGCUGCACACAUGAUCAACUUAUAGUCUUAUGUGUCUAAUGGAUUUCACACAAAGCGAUAGUUUCAGGGUGAAAUAUCUGUCAUUACUUUAAACAUACAAAUUAUUCUAUCAAUCUAUCAUUGACUAAAUAUUACACACACAAGAAAAGUAUUUACACCACUAAUUCGUCAACUUAAGGGGUUAUUUUUUGUCACGCCCUGGUUGAGGUAUUUUGUGUUUAUCUUAAUUUAUUUGGUCAGGCCAGGGUGUGGCAUGGGGUUUUUGUAUGUGGUGUGUUGGUAUUGGGAUUGUAGCUUAGUGGGGUGUUCUAGGUUAGUCUAUGGCUGUCUGAAGUGGUUCUCAAUCAGAGGCAGGUGUUUAUCGUUGUCUCUGAUUGGGAACCAUAUUUAGGCAGCCAUAUUCUUUGUGUGUGAUUGUUCUUAGUGUCCUUGUUCAUGUCUCAGUGUACACUAGUAUAGGCUGUUUCGGGUUUCGUUACGUUCUUUGUUUUGUAGUAUUUGUAUUGAUUCGUGGUUUACAUUUGUUUAUUUAACAUGGAUCGCAAUCUACACGCUGCAUUUUGGUCCGACUCUCCUUCACCACAAGAGAACCGUUACAGUUCUAUCCCUACUUCCAGUUAUAGCUCUUCACUUUUUAUGAUUUUCACUACAACGUUCUCACUUCAGAACUAAGAAAAGUUGUAUCUAAUUGUAGGUCAUCAGGAUCGAAUGAUCGGAGGCAAGUAGCAUUCAUCCCAUUGGUCGGAAUCUGGAAUUGUUCCAAACCUCACCGUCUGAGUUACCGCAUUCUCCAGCGCCUUAUUCACCAACUCCCGGACAAAAAAAUAAAAUAAAAAAUGUUUUAAUGGUAUUUGGCCUAACAACAUGAAAUUAGGUUUCUAUUGUUGGUUGCAUAAUCUUAAUUUACCACUUCAUGUCUAAAAUGGGAAAGUGUUUGUGUUUCCAGGUGAACCAUCCUUGGAGCGCCUUCCAGUCCCCAGUGAGGAUCCGUUAGGCUAAGGGACCCAGAAACUCAUGUGUUCUGGGUGGGGCUUCAACCCUCAGAUCAAGUUGCUCUCUGGGUCUGAACAGAGGUCUGCAGCAGCCUAUAAGAGAAGGAUGGGGGAAGACGGACAUGUGGCAGUACCCAGUCAUAUCACAGUAACACAGCAGGAGUGGAACCAGGAUCCCAAGCCACCCUCUAAAAAGAUAGUGAGACCACCAGAUUUGGAUCUAUGGGGGUCAAAUGAUGCCACACUGCUUUGCUUGGUGUCUGGGUUCUUCCCCUCUGUAAUAGUGAAUUGGGAGAAGGCUGGCAGUCGCCUACCUUUAUCUCGCUACUCCAGUAACCCUUCAGUUCUUUAUGCAGGGAGCAGCAACUACUCCAUAGGUAGACUGGUAGAUGACUAUGGAGUAGACUCAUCGUGCCCAGGUCCGAAUGGAAUCAGAACUCCAAUUACUCCUGUGCUGUCAGACAUGAGUCGUCCCGAGAGACCUAUCCCCAGCACAAUAGAGAAUGUAUUUGGCUCAGUGACUCCCUCCGCACCAACAGCCACCCUGUUCCAGGGUCCCAGUGAGCUUGUCUGCCUGGUGCUUGGCUUCAGCCCUUCAGACAUCAACAUCACCUGGCUGCUGGACAAUGUCACAGAGCUGUGGAACACUAGCACCCCCUACAGGGCACCAGGAGGAAUGUUCGGCAUCAGGAGCCACCUGAGCCUGGCACACCAGGACUGGGCACCGGGGGCUGUUUACACCUGCAGGGUGACCCACACCACCCAGACUCUGGCCCUGAACAUAUCCAAACCAGAGCUCCUUGAGGUGGAGGGUGUCUUCUUUGACGAGAACAGGUCUGAUCCCAUUCUGGCGGACACUGCAGAGGAGAACUGGAACAUGGCCUGCAUCUUCCUGGUCCUCUUCCUCAUCUCCCUCCUCUACAGCUUCACAGUCACUCUGGUCAAGACAAAAUUAUGACUUCAGGACACUUCCAUAUGAUGGAUCUCUAGGAGUUCAACUGGAAAUGAAACCUUUUCUUAUAAAAUCACAACACGUUUCUUUAGAACAUUACAUAGUUUUAAUGUCUUACGGUUUACUGUAGCUGGUUUGAUGAUAGGGAAGUGUUUGACGACAGGGAAGUGACAGGGAAGUGUUUGACGACAGGGAAGUGACAGGGAAGUGUUUGACGACAGGGAAGUGUUUGACGACAGGGAAGUGUUUGACGACAGGGAAGUGUUUGACGACAGGGAAGUGUUUGACGACAGGGAAGUGUUUGACGACAGGGAAGUGUUUGACGACAGGGAAGUGUUUGACGACAGGGAAGUGACAGGGAAGUGUUUGACGACAGGGAAGUGACAGGGAAGUGUUUGACGACAGGGAAGUGACAGGGAAGUGUUUGAUGACAGGGAAGUGACAGGGAAGUGUUUGAUGACAGGGAAGUGACAGGGAAGUGUUUGAUGACAGGGAAGUGACAGGGAAGUGUUUGAUGACAGGGAAGUGUUUGAUGACAGGGAAGUGUUUGAUGACAGGGAAGUGUUUGAUGACAGGGAAGUGUUUGAUGACAGGGAAGUGUUUGACAGGGAAGUGUUCUUGUUUUUAUUCCCCACAAAAACAGACAAUGUGGUGGUGCUUACUUGCUCUCAUCUCUUGUUAAUGCGUUAUAGAAUUUGAGCAGAGACAAUACAUUUUUUUUAUUUAACCACUACUAAAUAAAGCAUACCAUAGCAGUUAUUGCUGAAUUAUCCUCAGAUAAUAAAAAAUAAUUUCAAACUA